RNAcentral lists this non-coding RNA (24 nucleotides) under Arabidopsis thaliana (thale cress). Lineage: Eukaryota; Viridiplantae; Streptophyta; Magnoliopsida; Brassicales; Brassicaceae. The record is from RNAcentral.
AGAGGUGGUGCAAGAAACAAGAUA